RNAcentral lists this long non-coding RNA (768 nucleotides) under Elaeis guineensis (African oil palm). Its description in RNAcentral is "long non-coding RNA (EGUI_LNC019578)". The record is from RNAcentral. Lineage: Eukaryota; Viridiplantae; Streptophyta; Magnoliopsida; Arecales; Arecaceae.
CCCACUUCCUCCAACCAAACACCCAUUAACAUCCUUCGCUACUGUAAUCAGAAACAACACAGUAGUAUUAAAAUAUGAUUUCAUUUGAUCAGAUCAUUAUUGGCAAAAUAAAUCAUUAUUUUUUACUCGAUAUGAAAAAAUUUGAGUGACACAAGGAUAACAUUAAUUGUUGAACGAUGGAUAGGUCAAAAUAUAGCGGCUGCUUUUAGAUUUGAUGUAGAUUAUAACAGAACGGGUCUCAAAGCUAUCAUCAGGUCCUGUUCUAUGACAAACGGUUGUUAAAUAUCUCCAACAGAGCUUUGUUACCCACCACAUCUCUAUCAGAGGAAGAACAUAAUCACCCCGAUAACCUUGUUAAAGUGCGAAAACCCACCAAAUCUUAAUCAACAUACCACACAUUUUGCUUUCCUUUCUAAGGGUAGAUUCAAGUAUCUAAAUCAAUACAUAGCUAGAGAAACAUCACUAAAAGGAGGAGUUCUCAAAAUAAUAAUAAUAAUGAAAAUAAUAAUAAUUUAAAAAAUAAAAUAAAUAAAAAUAAAAAUCAUCAGUAGUUCACCACCAAAAGCAACAGAGUGGACCAAAGGAUGAUUCCUCCUCCAAGGCGGGUGUGGGCCUUCCUGAGCAUGAUGUCAGUCCAGGCCUGAGCCCAGUCCGGCCCACACCCCGCCCAAGUAUAUAUUUAUGAAAAUUUAGCACGGUUGUUAAGCUAGAGAUAUGGGGCUGCCCUUGACCGUAACCUGAGGACCACCAACGAUAAACAUUGGCUGC